AUUGAACGCUAGCGGGAUGCCUUACACAUGCAAGUCGAACGGAGUGGCGAACGGGUGAGUAAUGUAUCGGAACGUGCCCAGUAGCGGGGGAUAACUACGCGAAAGCGUAGCUAUUACCGCAAACUAUUGGAGCGGCCGAUAUCGGAUUGGCUAGUUGGCGGGGUAACGGCUCACCAAGGCGACGAUCCGGAGCUGGUUUGAGAGGACGACCAGCCACACUGGAACUGAGACACGGCCCAGACUCCUCCGGGAGGCAGCGGUGGGGAAUUUUGGACAAUGGGGGAAAGCCUGAUCCAGCCAUCCCGCGUGUGCGAUGAAGGCCUUCGGGUUGUAAAGGACUUUUGGCAGGGAGGCGGUACCGGCAGAAUAAGCACCGGCUAACUACGUGCCAACCGCCGCGGUAAUUC
This 407-nucleotide ribosomal RNA is filed under the name uncultured bacterium. RNAcentral's name for it is "partial 16S ribosomal RNA". It matches the Rfam family "Bacterial small subunit ribosomal RNA", at positions 30 to 526 of the family's 1533-position model. The record is from RNAcentral.